GUAUUUGUUAAGUUCUUGAAACCCAAAGGAUUUGGCGGUAUUUUAGUCCUUUCAGAGGAACCUGUCCCUUAAUCGACAAUCCACGAUUUAAUUUACUUAUUUUUGUAUACCAGUUUGUAUACCUCCGUCAUAAGGAUGUCUUUUUAGAGUUAAUUUCCUUUUCUAUUAAAUAUAGAUAUGUCAGGUCAAGGUGCAGCUUAUAUUUAAGUGGAGAUGGGUUACAAUAGGUUUAAUACUUAAACGGAUUUAUUUUUUUGAUGUAUAAUGAAGGCGGAUUUGAAAGUAAAAUUAUUUAUUAAGUUUUUUGGAUUUGGCUCUAAAAUAUGCACACA
Molecule: ribosomal RNA, 332 nt
Filed under: Lestoidea conjuncta
Lineage: Eukaryota; Metazoa; Arthropoda; Insecta; Odonata; Lestoideidae
Description: partial 12S ribosomal RNA
Source: RNAcentral